GACGAACGCUGGCGGCGUGCUUAACACAUGCAAGUCGAACGGUAAGGCCCUUCGGGGUACACGAGUGGCGAACGGGUGAGUAACACGUGGGUGAUCUGCCCUGCACUUCGGGAUAAGCCUGGGAAACUGGGUCUGAUACCGGAUAGGACUCCGGACUGCAUGGUCUGGGGUGGAAAGCUUUUGCGGUGGGGGAUGGGCCCGCGGCCUAUCAGCUUGUUGGUGGGGUGAUGGCCUACCAAGGCGACGACGGGUAGCCGGCCUGAGAGGGUGACCGGCCACACUGGGACUGAGAUACGGCCCAGACUCCUACGGGAGGCAGCAGUGGGGAAUAUUGCACAAUGGGCGCAAGCCUGAUGCAGCGACGCCGCGUGAGGGAUGACGGCCUUCGGGUUGUAAACCUCUUUCAGCAUCGACGAAGCGAAAGUGACGGUAGGUGCAGAAGAAGGACCGGCCAACUACGUGCCAGCAGCCGCCGUAA
Molecule: ribosomal RNA, 478 nt
Filed under: uncultured bacterium
Lineage: Bacteria
Description: partial 16S ribosomal RNA
Rfam family: Bacterial small subunit ribosomal RNA
Source: RNAcentral